This is a long non-coding RNA of Neopsephotus bourkii (Bourke's parrot), 1922 nucleotides long. RefSeq lists it as uncharacterized. NCBI's taxonomy places the organism in Eukaryota, Metazoa, Chordata, Aves, Psittaciformes, Psittacidae. The transcript has 6 exons. The record is from RefSeq and is a predicted model, not a curated record.
CGCUUGCGCCAUCUUGCGGACCCCGGCCAGGUUUACGGGCGCCAGCCUGAGAGGCUACUGCGAGCUACGCGGAGCUACGGGCAUGCGGAGGCCGCGGUGCCGGGAACCUCCCGAAGGCUGCUGGCCCUCUCCCAGAGCAGGUCAAGCUGACACGGCGCCUGAGGAAGCUGCAGCAGCGAGGGUAGCGGCAUGUGUCCGCCCCGCCUGCUCUGCUGUCUCACACACGAACUUCUUCGGUCCCGGCUGCCGGCCUGGAGCUGGCAGUGCAGCCGGAUGGGAGAAGCCUCACCCCACUGCCCUUCAUCCUGUACACACAGAGGGGUCCUAGCCUUAAAAACAGUAUCAAAGUAUAAAAGCAGAACAGUCCGGUUUUACUUCAGGGAUUAAAACGUGUGGGUCUUAUUACCCCCCUCCUCCCCCCAGUAAUUUAAUCUCAUCACCUACCAUUAACUACUCAACUUCUCCAGGUAGCACAGCUGCUUUCCCUCCUCUGAAAUCACAUGGGACUCCAUCUUUCUGGUCAAAAAUACCUUCCUGGAGCUCCAGACAAAGCAGCAACACCUCCAGUGUUCAUCUUUUUCAUGGCCACACUUCCCUCAGGAGCAAAAGCAGCAGAGCCCUUCCUCAGGCAUUGCCUUGUGGCCGGUACCAGCACAGCCUGGAAAGCUCUGGUAGCAGAGGACAGAGUGGGCCUGGGCACUUAUCCCAUGCACUCCCUGCACACAGCAGUCAUCUGGCUGUGCUUGCUAGAAAACAAGCUCCAACAGAACUUGGCUUUCCAACAGACACCCUCUGCUCUGCUUCAGACCCUCCCACUGUCAUUCUGCACCUCAUAACUAGAGUUUGAAAUUCUCCUGCACAGUACAGUGAACUCUACCUACUGGAUCCAGGUUUCUGGACUAGUCAAAGCUGUACAGUUGAUUGGAGGGUACUACAUGAAACCCUCCUAGACUAAAAAAUAAAUCUGCAAUACAACCAAGAUCUUGGAUGCAGAACAUGAUCGGGUUUUCAUUGUAUAUGCAAGUUUUCCUGGACACAGAAGUAAAACUAGAACAGCAAAAACUUCAUGAACGGUUUUGGCUCACUCUUACCCUGGUAGCAUUCCCAUCAGGAAGUCCGAAAUUUCAUUUCAUAGAUGUGAACUUACUAAAGAUUAAAAAGGGAAGAGCCUUCAGCUGUUUUUUCUUGAAAUGCUGACAAUGCAGAAGAGCUUGGAAAACACUGCAUCAGCAUGGCUACACUUCUAUUGCUGGCAAAUACAGAAUGCCUAUGUCAUUUUGAUAAUUCAUCAGCAACUUGCCACAGAACGAUGAAGCAGAAAACAAGCACCUCAAUGCUGACCCUACAAACAGGGCCACCAACCUCUGAAACAGGUAAUGAGUCUCCUACCAGCAACCUAUUCUAAAAAUCAAAACCGAAGAGUUUCAAAAAAGACAUCCCAAACCCUCUUCACAGAGGCUUUCCACUUCAAACAGGUAGGAUAAAAUUACUUUGGAAAGACAGUACGGGUACGUAUUCUGACAUUUGCCUGUUUCUUAAGAUUUUGCACCCCUAUAGUUCUUAGCAUAUAACUGCAUCUGAAAGAGCUACAUGGCAGCACUCCCUCCAUUUAGUUUUUAAAACUUGUCAUUCUUUGUUAGAUCUUGCAUAUUGAUGUCAGAACAGGAGUGACAGAAUUUUUACACUGAAGGAGAAAUUCUUAAAGCAUAAACAGUAAAGAGGCUGGAAGACAGGGCAGGUAUCCCAUUCCCAGACUAAUUUAAAAGUUCAUUAUCUUGUAUAAUGAAGGUCUCCUAUUUACUCUAGCAGAGUGAUGUUGCAUAACUGUAUUUUCCCUAGUAAGAUGCAUACACUAGUGUGGUAAAUAUUGACCAGAACUAGCUAAGUGUCACUGGCUGGAAACUGAUACACUCCUGCACUUG